This 432-nucleotide unclassified non-coding RNA is filed under the name soil metagenome. Its description in RNAcentral is "partial contains 5.8S ribosomal RNA, internal transcribed spacer 2, and large subunit ribosomal RNA". The stretch from base 1 to 120 matches the Rfam family "5.8S ribosomal RNA", at positions 35 to 154 of the family's 154-position model. The record is from RNAcentral.
GAUGAAGAACGCAGCGAAAUGCGAUACGUAAUGUGAAUUGCAGAAUUCAGUGAAUCAUCGAAUCUUUGAACGCAUAUUGCGCUCUCUGGUAUUCCGGAGAGCAUGCUUGUUUGAGUAUCAGUAAACACCUCAACUUCCAUAUCUUUUUUGAAAUGGGAGUUGGACUUGAGUGAUCCCAACGCUUUUCCUCACCGAAAAGUGGCGGGUUACUUGAAAUGCAGGUGCAGCUGGACUUUUCUCUGAGCUAUACGCAUAUCUAUUUAGUCUGCCUAAAAAACAGAUUAUUACCUUUGCUGCAGCUAACAUAAAGGAGAUUAGUUCUUGUGCUGACUGAUGCAGGAUUCACAAAGACGGCUUCGGCCGACUUUGUAAACUCGAUCUCAAAUCAAGUAAGACUACCCGCUGAACUUAAGCAUAUCAAUAAGCGGAGGA